This 68-nucleotide transfer RNA is filed under the name Marmota monax (woodchuck). Its description in RNAcentral is "tRNA.Ala". The record is from RNAcentral. Lineage: Eukaryota; Metazoa; Chordata; Mammalia; Rodentia; Sciuridae.
GGAUUGUAGCUCAGUGGUAGAGUGCUUGCCUAGCAUGUGUGAGAAACUGGGUUCAAUCCUCAGUACCA